Molecule: transfer RNA, 101 nt
Filed under: Catellatospora methionotrophica
Lineage: Bacteria; Bacillati; Actinomycetota; Actinomycetes; Micromonosporales; Micromonosporaceae
Description: tRNA-Pyl
Source: RNAcentral
CCUGGGUAAAGCGGUUGCGGCGGCGUCACGGGCGGCCCUAGGUUGCCUGAGAUGGACCUCUCCUGGCUCGGCACGCCGAUCGGCCCGAUGGUCCGGGUCCA